RNAcentral lists this long non-coding RNA (630 nucleotides) under Cricetulus griseus (Chinese hamster). Its description in RNAcentral is "lncRNA (ENSCGRG00015034421.1)". The record is from RNAcentral. Lineage: Eukaryota; Metazoa; Chordata; Mammalia; Rodentia; Cricetidae.
CUGACUUCCUGUUGCCUUCAAGAUGUAGGACUCUCAGCUCCAGCACCACAUCUGCCUUCAUGCUGCAUGUUCCCUUUCAUGGCCAUAUGGAAUGAACUUCUGAAACUGGGAAGAAAUGGGUAAAACAGAGCAUAGACUCCAAGAGCUUGAACUGACACAAGGUGACACGUCUUCUACUGCCUUCAAACUGCAGAAUUCUGCAAAUGUUUCAAAGACUCUCUGGGUUGCUGAAUGUUCACCUGAUAGAGAUACUUUAAAAGCUGAAAGAAAUCCCUUCCUCUCAGAUCCUAUUGCAUUCAUUUUCUCACAUCCUCCCGCCAUCUGUGCUUCCUUCUUCUGGCUGUACUUCCAAACUAAAACUGGGGAGGAAAAGGAAUCUCGAUGAACAGGAAUCAUCCGCUGAAGAAGCCAAUGGACUGUUUUUGAUACAUUGUAAAGGUAUUUAUUUAAAUCCUGUCAGAAUCAAAGAAUACAUUCUUUUCCGGAAUUCUAGAAAUCCCCCAAAGAAAUGGUACACCAAAAAUAAAGGACAAACCAGAACCAACCUCCAUUUAUUUCAGGUUUUUCCCUCCAUCCCUUCCUCCCUUCCCCCUCCCCGUUUCUCUUUCUUUUCCCCAAGACAAAGUUUCC